RNAcentral lists this long non-coding RNA (353 nucleotides) under Coffea arabica (coffee). RNAcentral describes it as "long non-coding RNA (CARA_LNC006600)". Lineage: Eukaryota; Viridiplantae; Streptophyta; Magnoliopsida; Gentianales; Rubiaceae. The record is from RNAcentral.
GAAUAAGGGUGACAAACUAUUUGCUUUCACUAAGAUGUGACAUUGAAUGGAUUACAUACAACUGGGGCACAAAAAUGAGACAAACUCUGACCUCCCAUUUCCUUAGCCAUUUCCAAAAUAAAGUCACUUGAUUGGUCCUGAAAAGAUGAGUCAACCAGAAGUGGUGACCCAUUACCCAAAGCAUCGAUGCCAAAGUGAGGAAGAAAUCUUCUAUAAUUUGGUGAUAUUCUGAGAGAUUCAUCAUGAAAUUUCUGCAUGAACUCAACAUGCAAUUUUCUUCACGUUGAAUAUAUGAUUCUUUGCUAAGUUUUGGAAAGUGCGAUUUCUCUUGGUUCAAAUAAAUGGAGAGACAU